Long non-coding RNA from Alexandromys fortis (reed vole), 21388 nucleotides. RefSeq lists it as uncharacterized. NCBI's taxonomy places the organism in Eukaryota, Metazoa, Chordata, Mammalia, Rodentia, Cricetidae. The transcript is spliced from 4 exons. The record is from RefSeq and is a predicted model, not a curated record.
ACUCAGCGACUUCCGUGGGAAUCACAAGGACUUCGUCUUUCAUUGCCUACUCUGCCUUCCGUCACAGUCCCUGGUUGGCUAGUGACCAAUUAAAAGGACCAGCCUGCUCAUCAGGAACAGGUGACAAGGUGUGUGAGGGAAGACAGAGACAGCAGAGGUGGACAGCUGCUGGCUAGACUUGAUGACAGAUGGGCCCGACUCAGUGAAGAUGGAGCGGCUGACUCUGCCGGACGUCAGGAGGACCCAGAGGAGUGUUUUAACAGUGGCUACUGAGUCCAGUCUUCUGAAUAUGAAGAUCUUUUGAGGAGGAGAAGGAAUUAGGAAAACAACCUAGUGUGGUUUAUUGUUAAUGCUCGAAGACUGCAGAAUCCCUGGCCUGUCUGCAGUUAAGAUGUGCUGGAGGAAGGUGGUGCUGGCACUCACUCGCCGUGUCUGCUCUCCUUGUGGAACUCAGUCCCCUGCUUCCAGGACAAGUCCAACCGACCCAUCAACCGUGAGUAUGUGUGACAGCAGUUUCUGGUGCUCACUGAAUCUUGCUUAGAAACUUGUAAAUGGUAUUGUGUCUGAGGAAGAGCUUCCAAGAGCCACAUUUCCUGGUGUGUUUGUAAUAUAUUUCACUUAACCAUGUACUAUGGGUGUGGUCAUAACUACAGAACCUGUCAGCAGCCAUGGAAGUUGAGAAUUAAGACUUACUUCUAUUUUUACAGCAUAUGUCUAGAAAUGCAGUUGCAAUUUUGGUAUAGUAAGUGCUUCUUUAUUUAAAGCAUAAUUGGAAAUAGAUCAGUGUAUUGUAGCAAAAAAAUAAAGAUGUGCAGUCGUGGCAAGUGAUGUACUAUUUAUGUGAGAGAGGUUGGUAAGUUCUGAUGCUCGGAUGUCCACUGUCAGCAUGGACUUCAGAAGAGAACAUAGGAAGUACACCGAGACUAAGGGAAGAUAGCUGUGACGUUGCAGAUACAGAACUGCCUCUGUCUUGGGUGUGCUGUUUGUCACCCCCAAUCACAUCCUCAGAUUACAUCCUCAGGGUGCUUGAUGGGUAAUUGCUGUGAGUGUUCUUACUCUCCCGCCGGGGGUCUGAGUAGGAGGAGAGCCUGUCGUAGUGUGUUUUCCUAUUGCGCACUGAAUUAUGCCCUUAAAGUCAUCAGUCUGUUCUGUAUUUUAGACCCCACUUAAAUUCUGGUGAAACCAUGAAUUCCUUUAACCUCAUUGAUACACAACAUUUGCUUGCACUUGGAGAUAUCCAUUGACACAGAGAAGCCUCUGUAGAUGCCCCAGAUAUAGAAGGCUGAACUAGACUCUUGGGCCUUAUCUGGGCUGUGCUACCCAAAUUACUGCUGUUAAAAACAGGAAAUAACCAGGCCAGAAGUCACUCCAUAUGGAUGCUGGGUGGAGAUCAGAGCUAGAGAAAAAAGGACAAAGGGGUGUGGAGGAUACAUGACUAACAGUAAAUAUCAGAGAGCGGUUGAUAUUAUCAGGGGUGUCAAGUGUGGAGCCCAGAGUUUCUGUUCAGUUCAGGUAGAGAGCUGAAGACUUGUAUUAAACCACUUUGGCUAGUUUUUUUUUAAAUCAUCUCUUUUUACACCAUAAAAUUAGGAAAUACCCCCCUCUCUUCCCCCUCCCUCCCUCCUUCUCUCUUUCCUGCCUUCUCCUCCUCCUCCCCCCACCUUUGUUAGUUUUUCCAUAGUUAGUAUGCCACCAAGUCAGGUAGGAGCACAAGUCACCUGAGCUUCCGGAUGUAACUCCUAACACUCAUAACAAAUUGGAGAGGUGGUUAUACUCCUGAGAGAAACGUAGCAGGGUAAGUAUAUGAGGAUGUUGUUGAAUGCAAAAUGAACAGUGUUUGAAAAAGAAUAGUCUUUAUUUCUCAGUAGCUACAUUGAAACAAAUACCAUUGGGGCCAUCGUGGACAAGAAGACAGGAAUCUUGAGUGUUGAAGGGAGUGUGACCCAGAGGCUGAAAGGGAUGGAUUAUUUGACUGGCGCUAGACACAUCAUACUCAGUUUGAGUCAUGCUUGAAAAAGAUGUUGGGCGACUGUGAAGUGCUGAUACACAAUCAACAGAAUUGCACACCACCCUUCUAGGAAAAGAUAACGAAACAGAGGGUUUAGUCCGAAGGGAAGGGAGGCUUUGUCUCUGGUAUCCUCUGCACUAACUGCUUGCUUUCUCCUGUGUUCUUGGCCUCCAGGCUGCCUGCUUUCCUCAACUUGCAGCACAGUGCGUAGCUACCGAGUAGGAAUGCUUUGUAACACUUCCAUAAUAAACUCACCACGAGUAAAUACAUCCAGAUAAAUCCAAGGAACUAUUGGUGUGACCCGGGAAUAAUAGUACAUUUUCUGGUGGUAAUGAAUAGAUAAGGUGAUAAAAUAGUUGAGCUGAGGGAUGUAGUAAAAUCUUUGGUGAUGAUUUUUCUAAAGAUGAAAGAAAGGAACUAUUUUGAGUGGUAGAACAUUUAUUUCAGCCGUCAGCCUGGGCCGACUGUGGUAGGCGGGUACAAAAGGAAGAUCACAGUGCUUGCUAACACUACUGUGGGGACGUAAAGCAGCAUGCGGUAGGGGCUUGUGGCAUUCAACCACCACCUCAUGUGGCUUCCUGAUGGAGGUGAAGUCCACACUGCCUCCUUACAGGGCAGCCAUUGAGGUUAGCAAGAUAAAGGAGUUAGUGGUGAGCCGUCCCUCUGAGGACCCGGUACACAGGGGCCCUGGGUCCAGAAAGGAAUGAUGGGAGCAGACUCUAGGGAGCUGUUUACACAGGACUGAUGUGCCUCCCAUGAUGACCGGAUAGAUGCACAACUUAGAAAGAUGACCUGGCAACACUGAAGGCAACUUUGUUGGAGUGUUGUGCAGGUGGGUAGAGGGACAGGUCAGGCAAGAUAAAGAGGUUCCUGCACUUGAAGGUAGUGGAUUCCCAAGAGAAGAGUCAGCAGACGGAUAAGGUAAAGUCAGCACAGCGACUUAGUUGCUGUGUAGGACAGUGAAACACAUGCCAGGGGAAGUCCAGGCCUGGAAUGAACAGGUGGCAGUGGGGCAUGGCAAAGCACACACUGGCCAGGUAACUGGAGAUGUGAGAGAAAGAGUGAGAGGGAAGCCCGCUUAAUGGACGUGGACUUCAAAUUUGAUGAGCAAACAGUUCAAAUGAGCAGGUGGUCUUGACCAGUGUAAACACCAUUUCCAAAGCAGUGGUCAUUCUCUUGAUUUUUUUUUUAUUGUUUUAUUGGUUUGUGACAAGGUCUACCUUUAAUAGCCUUCACUGGCCUUGAACUCACCAUGUGGCCCAGGCAUGCAUGAAACUCAAUCUUUCUGCCUCAUCCUCCUGAAUGCUGGAAUUAUAGGCAUGCACCUCACCUGGCCUUUGUAAUUUUAAAUUUGGUACAAAGUUAUUGGUAGUAUAACAAUUCCCGUUGUAUAUGUGUAAGGUAUACGGUAUGACAUUUUGAUAGAAUUAUAAUUACUUACAGUCUAAUAAAUUUAUAUGUGCAUUUCAGAUGGUUGAGUUUAUGUAUAUAAAAGCACCUAAAUUCCCCUGUUAUGUUGAAAUAAGAACGGCGGGGCUAUGUCCCCAGCACCCCAGCUGCCUGCUUAGCUCAUGCCCGAAAUAACAACACACAAAUUGUAUUCUUUUAAACACUGCUUGCCCAUUAUAUCUAGCCUCUUCUCAGCUAACUCUCGCACCUAGACUAGCCCAUUUCUAAUAAUGUGUGUAAGCACCCCAAGGUGCGCUUACCAGGAAGAUUCUAGCCUACGUCCAUCCUGGGUCAGGGCUGCCUGGGAGAGCAGAGCUGUCGGGUCUGUCUGAGGAGUCUUACCUCACUUCCUCUUCCUCCUGUUUACUCCUCCCACCUAUGUUUUAACCUAUCAGGGCAAGCAGUUUCUCUAUUUAAUUAACCAAUGAAAUCAACGGAUUGAUAUAUGACACUCCCACAUCACUGUCAUGCAAUAUUGACUGCUGUUCUGCCAUACUUCCCAUUGGUUAAUCUCAAAUAACAGAAACUAUAUCCCUUUUAACCUAGAUCCCUCAACCCCCUUGCCAGUAUUCUGUUUUGUUUCUAUAUACUUGAUUUUCUUUAUAGUCCAUAUAUGAAAAGGAAGUGAAAUUAUCUUAAGUUCCUGAAGAUCCUUUGGUAUUAAUGUCACACAUUAAUGCUUGUGUGUCUCUCUUCCCAUAGCUACCUCCUUACACUGUGUGCAUGAGUUUUAUUGAUCCUCGAUCUAUACCACUUUGUAAAUGAGCAUUUUCUCCAUUAAAGCAUUUUAAUGGUGUCUUGUUUUCUCCUUUGGAGGUUCAAUUUUUUUUCAUAUUUCAAUAGUUAUCCUUUAAACUACACGAGUCCUGGAAAUUUGCUUCCUGUGGGUAUGGGUAUGGGUAGUUUCACACCUUUAACCCCUGCACUCGAGACCAAGGCUAGGCUGGCCCACAUAGCAAGUUCCAGGCCAGCCAAGGCUAUAUAGUGAGACUUUGCCUCGUUUUACUAGUUUUGUGACUACCUUAGACUAUGCUUAAUAGUGCGUAUUGAAGGACCGAAGUCAAGAUGUUGAUAAGGGUUGCUGACUGGUUUUCUCAAGCCCUUGCAGCAUAGUAGACUCAUUGUUAGCAGACUGUGGAAUUUCUCACCAUUUCUAUAGGUGCUGUUGCCACCUUUUCUGGUGGUCUUUAGCAAAAAACAGUACAUUACCUUUGUUUCACUUAUACAACAGGUCAGGUAUGAGAUGCUUGCCCACCCUGUGUGUUUUUCCCAGUAGGCCCAGCUUUGUUCACGUGUUCCCCACUCUGUUUUUCUUCUGCGGAUGACGGCCAGUGUUCAUUCCCUGUAUUUCUGUGGAACUACGACUUCCUGAAAUACAGUUUGUAAAUCCUGAAUGUGAAGUACUUGGGCGAUCUAUUCUCCCUCCCUUCUGCCUUCUAAUUUCUUUCUUUUUUUUUCCCCUUUUUUUGGUUGUUGUUUUCCUCAAGAUACAUAAGCUUUUUUUCCCCCUUGGGUGUAUUAGUGGUGUUUUGUUUUUCCCCUGGCUAAAGCUUGCUCCUCUAUACUGAGGACUUUCCUCCUACUCAAAAAUUAGACAGUAUUUGUUUUAUUUUUAAGAAGUAAUUUUCAUCUUUUUCCUUAAAGUUGACACAUUAAAAGGAAAGCAUGAAGCAAAGAUUUAGAUUCAGAUGGGUUUUUAGAGUAAAUCCCCAGCGUGGUGCACUGAGUCAUCGGUCUUCCCCAGCCGUUUGUGGUGUUCCCGUUAUUUUCUGUUUCCACACUUGGUUUUGCAGCAGGAUGCCAUGAAGCACUUGGAUGUCAGCCCUCGAGUAGAGGGCAUGAGCAUAGUCUUUACAAACGUUUUAUUGUAAAAAAGUCAAGUGUACAGCAAAGUCGAAAGAGUUUGAUAGUAAACCCUUCCACAGUUCGUAUUUUAGCACUCUUUUAUUAAAACCAUGUAUUUUGCCAGUCAACGAUGGCAUACACCUUUAAUCCAGCCUUUAGAAGACAGAGGCAGGCAGAUCUCUGCGAGUUCGAGGCCAAGCUAGUCUACAGGGCUAGUUCCAGUACAGGCUCCAAAGCGACAGAGAAACCCUGUCUGAAAAAAAAAACAAAAAAAGAAAGAAAAACAAACAAAACAUGUAUUUAUUGCUGUAACACUUUCUAAACCAUGAUUUUUAACUCCAAAAAGAGUCUUAAAGAAGUUUUCCCUAAUCUAUAUUUGGCUUGUUUUUAAUUUGUAGAUUUGCUUUUGAGGACUCUUGGAAUUGAUAUUAUAGUACUGUAGAUAGUGUACAGCUCAGUAUGUAUCGAGGAAAAUUGUUUCCCAGCAUAUUUUUGUGGUCUAACUUGCUGACUUGACUUCCAAGGCUUGUGAGGUGAUACAUGUAUUUCUUAAACCUGGUUCCCUGUCACAAGUGUCCUCUGCUAACAGUGGUUGUCCUUCCCAGGAUGCUACAGUAGCUGGGGAAUGGGAGGUUGGGCUGGGCAGAAACAGCUGCCUUAAAAGCAGACCAUGUCACAGGUUCCUUUCCUGCUGGCCCGAUGUUGCUGUGCAGGGAAGCCCUUCUCAGGGAAGCAGACUGUCCUGGAGACUGUUCCUCCUGAGAGCUGUUUACAGGGAGCAGCAGGUCUUCAAAGACCUCAGGUCAAGGAGCUCCAGCCCUCUGUCCAGGCUGAGAGCCACCACCAUAGAUUCCCAGGAGGUCAUGACCCUUGAUGGGCUCACAGCCUGGAGACAGUUUGUAGCCUUGCUGUAACAGCUAGCUGGCCUCUGCUUCUGUCUUAGCACACAGCCAGCCAAACAGAAAAUACACAGCCUGCCUGGAAGGAGUCACAGAUGCUCACCAAAGCAGUGUACCAUACUGUUUUCCCCAGUUUCCCUCAGUUUCCCAUCCAUAAAAAUGCCUUGGAUUUAUGGUUACACCGAUGGUUUCCUUAUCAACAAUGCAUGACUUCUAUGAUAAACCACUGAAUAUAGAUUAGUAUCCAUUCUUAGAAACCUGAGGGACGAUUUCCCCCACCACCACUUUCCUAAGCAUCACUUUGUCAUGGUGAAGUUCACCAGACUUUGCUCUGGAGUUAGGAUUUUGAGGCUGUUAGGUGAGGCUCUCUCUGCCCAUGAGAUGGGGGGUGGGGUGAGGUCCAGUAAGUAGAAUGGGUGACAUUCUUGCACUCAAACGGGGAAGGUUCCUUUUCUGGCAGGAGUUUUGGUGAUUGCUAACCAGCAUUAUGCCAUGGCCUCCUCCAUGAGACACACUGUGAUCCACCGUCACCUGGGCUCUAAAUCCCCUGCUUCCCAACAGAGGGGACAGUUGUGUUUUAGCCCACAAAGUCUUGUAACUCCAAGAAUACCCAGAGAAAUCAUAUCACCUAAAUUAAGGAUCUAGCAGGUUCAGUGUUCAGACCAGCAUUCUGUUGGAGCAAAUGGUUUUCAGGGGGGGCUGAUACAUUGUUUUUCCUGCUGAUGUCCCCCUCGCCCCACUCUGUGCUUCCUCACCUCGCUUCUUUACCUCCCUCUGCGUCAGGACUCCGGACAGGGCAGCCAGCAGCUUUACAGAGGCCCAGAUGCUAAUGGACACUAUUUGGCUUUUACAAAAUUAUCCAGGAGCAAAGGGGGACAUACACAACUUUUCUCUUGCAUAUUAUUUUCCUUAGUGUUAAAAUAUAAAGAUAGAUGCAAAGACUCCCCCCACACACACACCUCUCAUCACCGUGGUAUGCACAGUUUAUAUGAAUCACCUUCUAAAUCCAUGACUAGGGUUGAGUUAGCUCCAAGGUUAGAUGUGCAGGAAAUAAGACUGAUGAGGUCAUAAGCCCUGUGGAAUCCUGAGGAGGGUGUCUUAGGAAUGCUGCUCUUAGGCUGAGUCAUGCCCAUGUGGAUGGAACCUUAGCUCCCAAGUGUUACCUGGAUAAAAUACUAUAACCUGCCACCAGCUUUUAAGUUUAGAUGAAACUUAAAGUUGGGAUGUGUAUUCAUAGACCCUGAGGCUGCAUAGCAGGUUAACAAAGCAAAUAAGACUCUUCAUUUGCCACCAUGUGUGGUCAGCACGCAUGUACUUCUAACAUGUUGGUAGCUGAGGCAGGAGCAUAGAGCUCAAGGCCCACCUGGGCUGCAGAAUGAGCUGAAGGCCAGGUGGGCCACACAGCUAGAUCCUGUCUCAAAAUGAAACAAGACCAGCUAUGCAGAAAGAAUAUAAAUUAUGAGGUGUGACUUUAUUUUAGAAACUUGGUAUUGGGAACUGCAAUGGGGUAUUUUGUGCUAUUACCUCUGGAAUACUUACCAGAAAAAAAAAUUAAAGGGGGCUUUUAGCAUUUCAGACCAGUCAUGAAUAUUUUCCAGGACGGCAUUUUUAUGUUUUUAUUUAACUGUGAGAUUUCCUCACUUGAAGUUGAAAUGUAACUACCAUGUGCCAAACUGCCAACUCACCCAUAAUGUACCACGUGGUAAUGGUGUCAAGCCCAGAACAAGUUACUGUGGGCACAUUUCCUAUGGUCAGUGUUCCGGGGCCAGAGUAAAUAGGGAAAAGUCAUUUUGUGUUCGUGUUCCUCAUUCAUGUAAACUGUCCUCAGCAUGGAGUCCGAUUCAACACAGAUAGAAGAGGCCCGUGACAGCAACACAUGUCAGAGGCAUGCACCGUGGGCCAGGCACUGUACCAUGUUCUUUUGUGGCAGGAGACCACUGCAGUACCCUCCACACACAGAAAACUAAGGGUUGGGGAACUAAAGUCAUUUUCCUGGCAGUCACACAGCCAACAAAUGCAGGAACCAGGAAUCAAAUCGCAGUGGUCUGCCAGAUACACCCAAGCUUUGAAUUUGUAUCCUAUUUGGUUUCCUGACUCAUUUUAGAUUUUAUCUGUUGGACCAUUAUUCAGUCUGAUGUAGUCACGUAUCUUCAGUAUAUUGCGGAAGAACACUCUCAUCCAACUGGAUGCCCUCAUGGCAUUCCUUGUUCUAGGUCACCUUGUGACCGCUUAUUAAUGAUGAAUGCUCUCUGCCUGUGGGCUCUACAGAAUGUGCCGUGACCAUAAGAGAUGCUUUUCAACAAAGGCAGGUCACAGAGUAGCUGACUCAACUGCCAAGAGUAAGAAAAGUUGUGUGGCUCAUGGCGGGCCAACUCCCUUUUCAUGAUUAGAAGCAAAUGAUAGCUCACUACUCUUGCGCCUUCCAGCAGGUUCAGGUCCCAUAAUUUAAAUGCAGCACUGCAGCCCAGAAAUCAGUUGUCUUUUGAUAUGAUUGCUGCCUGUUCCUAUGUAAUUCUUCUGUGGGGGGAGCUUGGCCUCCCGUGCAUUCCGGGCCUGCUUCCCCUUUGCAGUGAUGUUAUCCACCAGAUAGACAGAGUAGGAAAGGGCUGAAGUUGUCCCUCCCUCUGCCACCUCAGAGGAACACACCCCUUCUGGGUACUCCCAAGAUGUCUUAUGACUCACCAGUGUUUGCCUUCCUGACUUAGGAGUUGGGGUAAAUACCCAGCCUUUGAAUGAGAGUCAGAACUUACAGAUCUGUGUAACAUGUUCACACAUAUGUAGAUCUUCACAGCUGCUUGGAUAGUUUUCUCUGUCCCCAUCUCACUGAUGAGGAGGUAGCAGCUUGCCCCAUGCUGACCCUUGGUUGGUGAGUGACAGCCAGGGCCUCAACUCUGCAGGCCUACAUCUUGUUUCCUGGUUCCCUUGUGGCUCUUCCUUAGUCUUUUACAAAGGUCAUGUGUUGUGUUGCUCUUGUCCCAAUCAACGGGACUUGGUUUUUUCCCUUUUUGCUCUCUUCUCCCCCAAUUAGCAGCCUCUUGCCCCUCCCCCACGCGUUUUCACUUAAAAGUUGUGCACUCCCAAGUGGUAGAAUCUCUCCAAAUUGCAAGAUAGUGACAUUGAAUCUUUUGUUUAGGCCAGGCCGGCUACAUCUUGUUAUUGUAGAGAUUUGACAAAGUAGAAAGCUAUGACAUUUAGGUAAAGCACAAGAGCAAAUUGAAUGUGCAAACCAUGGUUGUGUUAGUGAGAAGUAGUGAAGAUGGGAGGUGUGUAUACCUGGGCAAUGAGGAAGUGAGCAAGAGAAUGUGCGUGGGCGGCCCAUGUGCUUGGCACAAAGGAGGCCUGAGAGGUUGCUGGCUAGGACAAGCUGUGUAAUUAAACAGUUGAACAGGUCCUACCAACAGCAGGGCGGUGUUCUCCACAGGCCUGCAGGGGAACCGGGAAAGCGAGAAAGCUGGAAAUGUCUUUGGACACAUGGAGCUAGACACGAGUUUUCACAAGCAGGUAAGCUGAAGGAUGGAGAGUCCAGGCAGCAGUUCAUAAAUUAGAAAGAAAGAAAGAAAGAAAGAAAGAAAGAAAGAAAGAAAGAAAGAAAGAAAGAAAGAAAGAAUGAAUCAGCCCAAUAUUCAACUUGGCUUUCUUUUAGGGAAUAUUGGUCAAAGUGGGGAUUUUUAAUUUCACAGAGAAAUUAAUAUUGCCACCAUAGUAGAACACAGGACCAAAGUUAAUCGGUUUUUUUCAGUGAUUGCGAUACUGGCCUGAAAUUGUAUGUUUUAUGUCUCGCUCUCUAGAGAGACCUUCCUCCUCUAGUGUUGGAAGAUUGGAGGCCUUCAGCUCAGGAAGACCAAGGCUAACUGACUGUGUUUGUCCUGUGCUGUGUGCCAGUCCCCGGUCAGCACUGAGCUGAGAAUGAUGGAUAGUGGUUCAGGGCAGCAGUGUGGCCUUUACCAUUGUGCGGACCUAGGUGACCCUUGAAAGGGAGGCUCUAGGAGGAGAUUUUGGCACAGAGGGGUCACGGGGAGCCUGUAGAAAAGGCUCUAGAGCAGUGGUUCUCAACCUUCUAAUGCGGUGACCUCCAACCAUAAGAUUAUUUUUGUUGCUACUUCAUUGUUUUGCUACUGUAUGUAAAUGUCUGUGUGGUCUUGAUGGUCUUGGGCGACCUAUGAAAGGGUCGUUAGAGCCAUAGGUUGAGAAGCGUUGCCCUACGGAGGGGCAAAUUCAAUGUUAGAGGAUCAAAAUGAAGGCAGUACACUGGGUGCCUCCAUUUCAGAAGCCUCAUGGAAUCUCUGGAUACGCCCCUGGGAAGUUUCCAGGCUCUUAGGAGAGCCCCACCCUAAGCCACUGCUUGCCACUUCCUGUUCCUAUGACUGUCCCUUGUUGAGGGGAAUAAACAAAGAAGGCAGUGAAAGCUGCAACAAGGAAUCUGAAGCCAGCCCCAUGUCAGGUGCCCCUGAGUGCAACAGUGGCUACUAGGCUGUUAGAGCUGGGGGACAGAGGACCCAGAUUGUUCUUCUGCGGUUCCCAUGGCCAAGGGUGAUGAAACCAGAGAAAGGUGAUAGGAUGCCAAACACAGAUGGCAGUUGUUCUGGAAAGAGAAGCCUAGCAGCGUCCACAGAAUUAAAAGGACCUUUUUUCUCUGCAUUGCAACCUCAGCACGGUUGAGACACCCCUGUACAGUCCUGCGCACCCUCAUGUGCAGACCCCAUGAGCAUCCAUUUUCUUUUCUCCAUCCAGUCCCCCCCUCCCAUUCUGCCUUUUGGAAGUACACUGCUCCACUUUUUUAGAAGUGGUGAACUUCGACCUCCGAGGCUGCUUGGGGUGGGAGCUAAAAGGAAGCGCCGUGGAGCCCAAAAGUGUUGUGUCAACACUGUGGUUCUGAGCGUCUAAUCUUUUACUACCUGUAGGGACAGGUGGAUGUGGAGUUGCUGCUGGCAGGGAAGGCCAAAUUCUUUCAAGGUUAUGAUUGUGCAAUAGCGAACAUCUUUGAAGCUGCAGGAGGAGGUCAGGGCAGCUCCUUCACAGAGCUCGCUCUGCUGAGCUCUUCGCUUUACAGGACCUCAUUUGCCUGACUCUCUGAAGUGAUUUCCAUGCCAGUGUAAAGCUUACAGCUGGGCUUUCAAAGAGUGGCCGUGCCAUCUGUAGUGACAGGAAGGACAUGUGGUGGUGGUGGUAGGAUCCCUCCUUUUAAAAUGUUCCUGAGGUGCUAAAGUGCUCACUUGGACAGCUGUUUUUUAAGACCGUCUGUUCUGCUGUUUGAGGAGAAAGGUGGGAAAAGUUUUCAUCCUCCAGCCAGACGUGGCCGUAAGCAGCCGGCGGCGGACGGUAUGGGAAGGCUGUGCUGAGCUUGCGUCUGGGGCUGUAACCGGACAAGAGGAAGUUUGAGAAGUUCAGGGUAUUUUUAGCUGAUCAGGGCUGCUGUGAAAUAGGUCUCUCCCCCACCCUGUAGUCCCAAUGGAAGAGUCAGCAGUGAGUGCCCUUCACUCUGAUUGGAUGUGUUACCAUUUCGGACAUGCAGGAGAAAGGUGUGCAUGGUCAAUGUGAAGAAGUAGCUUCCAAACUGACAUCUGUGGACAUGGCAUCUCUUUUUUCCUCCGUGCGUCCAGUGUCCCUCCUUUCUGCCAAGUGUGUGGUGUGACCAGAAGUUCUUUCUCAGAGCUGUGGUUGCCCCCAAAAACCUGGGGACUGGAGAACUCUUGUUUCCAUUCCUCUGUCUGCUCUGAGGCCCUGACGUAGAAAUGGUGUGGCUGCUACAGUACUUUGGGUGCAGUGACGUAAGCAACUGGGGGUGUUGAUUAAAGCCCUCUGGCAGUACAAGUGCAGCUUCAGUGGGUGAUGAGUGCAGGGGACCGUCCCUGGGCCCCUUGCAAUGGUGAGCUGGUUAGUGUAUGUAACAAGAAAAGCAUACAUCCCUACUGGAGGGCUUUUAACAUGCCUUUUUUGUAUUACCAUGCCUUUUUUAUUUGCAUGGUGGUUGCCUUGCUGGGCGGCCCAGCCUGUGGCACAGUGAAGAAGUGCUGGAACAGGACUGGGAGCCCCUGGUCCUGCCUCUUCCUCUGACUCGCCACCUCUCCCUACUUGUGGAAUUGGGAGCAGAUAACCACUUCCCUGAGUCGAGUAUGCUCAGAAGAUCUAGCAUAAUAUAUACUGGAAAAGUCCUAACUCUGCUGCUUUCAGACUGAGCCGACUCUCACCUGCUUGCCUUGCUCUAAUUGGAGCUCUCUGUGGUCUCCCUGUAUCGUUUCCCACUUUUGAGUGUUGCUUACAGGCCCAGCCUGUAACACCCAGACCCGCUGACUUCCCAGUGCUUCUGCAGCGUUUUCAGUGUGAGAGCUUUGCUCGAGUAUUACCCUCCAGGGCAUUCCUGUGAACUUGAUGUGGUCCUGCCCUGUGGUGGGGGCUCUGCCCUACGGUGGGUGGGAGCCCCAUUCCCUCCCCUUUAAAGGGCUUUGUUUUCCAUUGCAAUGGCUGUGCAAGGCUGCCACCUUGUGGCCAGAGCCAGGCAAUGUGUGACUUGCUUCAUGCUCCAGGAAGGACAUUUAACAGUGAUCCCAACACUCACUGCACACAUCAGUCCAGCUUAAGGAUUUAGCAUUUCUGCUUUGGCAUUUUUUAGUCUGUGUUUCAGUUUCUGUGGCUGUAGAGUCGCCUUCCAUACGCCUUUCUGCUCUGCUCCAGGCCAGUCUGUCUGAAAGGUGAAUCAGUUCUCUCGGGUCCCAGGCUCUAACCCAGCUGUCAGGAGCUCUGCCAGCCUCUCUGCUCCACAGUGCCUUCCCCUCCAACUUACCUGGCUGAUGAACAUUGAUCUGACAGUCACCUCAACCCCCGCCCCCCAGUAUCAACUUCUUUAUUAACUGCGCCUGGCUCACUUCCCUCAGCAUGCCUCAGCUCCUUUUUUGGAAGAAAAAGAAAGAAAUGGAAAGCCAAAUGGCUGGAAGGAGAAGAGGGAGGGAGAGAGGAAAUCUGAGAGGAUUUAACAACUGUGUUAUAAUCAGAUGUUUUCCUUCUUCCACAAGCUAGUUGAAAGUAGAGACUCCCUUUUGUCUCUGGGUCUCUAUGUAAUAGGAUCGUGCCUGGCAUCUGACCAUUGCUCACUGGCUACGAGAAGGAAUAAAGGAAAGAGAAUCAAAGCAGGCAGAGAGGCUGUCUUUGAAGUGGUGGAGCUCAGAAAAAACUUGGGGGUGCUCACGGGGUUUAGAGGACUGGCCAGGAACCAAGUGGGGGUGCUGAAGCUAACUGGUGAGCACUGCUCACAAACCCCGCCUUUUUGCAUAGAAAGUGUCCUCAGCCACCCCCAGUGCCAGCAGGCGCAUUGCUUAAAAGUUUGUUCCUACCACCCUCUUUCCAGACCUCUUCAGUAGCGCUUUAGUCCUGGCCCCCGUCAAAUGACCCACCCUACUCCCUGUGGUCUGUACCUGAACUUAAGGGCUUAGCAACUGGAUGCCCAUUUGAUAGAUGGUGUGGCAAAGGCACUUCUGGAGCGUUUGGUUGAACUUCUCUGAGGAUAAGACACUGUGCAGGUCACCAUGGGAACCAUCAAAAGAGGUUGGAGCAUGCUACAAGAGCCAUUCAGAAGAGUGACAGCAGAGAAGAGACUGUCGCAGGCAGCUUGCGACUAGUGGCCAAGACCAUGGCUGGGGAAUAUGGUACUGAUUUAAGAAAACACCUAUAGAAGAUGCCUUUCUCCUAUGAAAUGCCCCAUUCCAGGCCCGUCCUGUAGUCUCCUCCCCUCACACCUUGGAGUGCUCAGCCUUCAUGAAAAGAUUGUGGCCCCCAGGCCUCACUCAGGUUGCAGAUAGAAAGCAGCAAAUGCCGUGUGAAGUUGAGCACACGGGUACCAGUCAGCACCUCGCUCCCUUCCUUGUGGACCUCUUCUUUAAAAUUCUGUACAAACAGCUCUGAGUUCACAGAGAAGCUUCUGCUGCUUUAGACAGAGCCAGCCACUUCCUCUCAGAGCCCCAUUUCCCUUGAUGACCAUGCCAUCCUUUCUUUACAGCCCUAGCACUUGACACGAUGUCUGUGUGCACUGUGGACUUGAAAGUGUUGUCGGUUGAAAGUACUUGACACGUACGGAGCCAGGGAACAUGAGUUGUUUCGACACCAUCAGCGUGAUUGCUGGGAGUCCAGAAGAGGCAGCAUGUCAGAAUGGAUCUGGGGUCUCAAGUAGGCUAUACUGGCCUCGAACUUACGAUGUGGCUGAGUCUGGCCUGGAAUUCCUAAUCCUCCCACUCACACACCCCAAAGUGCUAGAGUUCAUGGCUGUGCUACUCUAUGCUGCUUCAGAGUCUUCUUUAUAAGCAAGAGUGCCCUGCGAGCCUGCCUUCAUUUCCUGUCAUGGCAUUCACCUCAGUUUCCUCCUUGUGACCUUGUGGCUUGGGUCUUGUUGCCGGUGUGAAGCCCCUCAACCACAGGACUGGCUCUUCUGAAACAAAGACUUUCCUUCAGGUACGGCCUUUGGCCUGGCUCUCUUUGCUGUCUUUUGGGUCCCUCUGCCCUCGUGACUGUAAUGACCUGGAAAGUAACAACAUGCCGGCGGCAGGUGGUCCUCCAGAGCUGAGUCACCACCCUGGGAACAGUGCCCUGGGCAGGCUGUCCCAGGCUGACUGGGUCUUCUCCAUUUGGCCUGCAAGCCUGUGAGGGCUCUUUCAGUGUGACAGGGAUGGGCAGAGAACAUGGGAAAUUUCUGGCAGAACACACAGAAGGUUUUCCCAUAAUUGCAGUUAAGGUCCGUGGUUGGCCAUCUUAUUUCAGUACACCCAAAUUAUACACUUACAGAUGUCUUUUAGAAAUAGAGGGAGGGAAUUCUUAAAUGGGGUUUUGUUUGAACUUGUGGUUUGAGAGAGUGAAGACUAGUGUGGCAUGGGGAGAAAUAGAGACCAUUGGUAUUGUAUUAAAAUAAAACAUGGCUGUGAGGUUCAGGUUGUUUUUGUGGGGGGAGGUGUUAAUGCAGGCAAGCAUGCACACACACGUGGAAGCCACCUAUCACCACCCUACAGGUUUGAGACAGGAUCUGUCAGUAAGAUGGAAGCUCCCCCUUGCCUAAGCUACUAAGCUAGCUGGCUAGCGGGUUCUUUGGAUCACCUGUCCAUAAUGAGGGGGUUCCAGGAAUGCACAGUCACGCCUAGCUUUUUAUGUGGGUGCUGAAGGUCUGAACGUGAGCCUUAACGCUUUUAGAAUAAGUGUUCUUAUCCGCUGAGCCAUCUCCCCACCCUGGAUUAUUUUCAUUUAUUUAUUUAUAGACAUUCUGUUGGUUGCUUUAAAAAGUUCAGAUGCUUAUCAUGUCCAAAGCAAGAGAAGAAAAAAGUUCCUUUUGAAAGCUCCUUCGUACAGCCAUCUGGCUUAGACACCCAGCACGCAGCAGAGAAAGAUGGUCUCAGUUUACCGAAUCUGUAGCUGGAAACUUACUUCCCUCUUUGCCUGAGAGGCAAACAACAAAAGAAAACAUGCUGGUCUGACUGACCAACCAGUCAUGUCAGCCAAACUUCCCAAAAACAACACAAAAGCUCUCCUGACUGAGUGGUGACUGUUGGGAAACCAAUAAAACUGUUACAAACAAGCAAAACGUGCAUGAUGCAAAUGUUCCACCAUGGCAAACUGUGAUGUCCCCUCUAGAGCUUCCGGAAAGGGAAGGGAAAACAGUGGGGCUUUUGCUUUCCAAGUAUUGACCCUCUUAAAACUUUUGAAAGUUGAGGUUUUUUUUUCAGUUUUUGACCACAUACACCAUGUGACAGAUAAUUGUGUUGCCAAGCUCAAGUGUCCUACAGGGAAAAGCCAGCCUUGAUUGACUAGUCCUUUCUCAGCACUGGGAUCGGCCUGGGGCCUGCCGGAACUUUGCUGCUCCACUGAGUUCAGAUGCCUGGGUGCACGCUUACAGUGUAGCCUGUGGUCCAGAAGUUGGGACUUGCACCUUAUUUUUCUGUUUGUCUUGUAGUGUCGUGUACACAAAAUGUAAGAAUGGCCAAGAGGUUUCCUAAUACCCCCUUCCCUCCUUCCUCCUUGCAGUACUGUCCAUGAAACCCAUUCCUCCUAGUUUUAUUAAAUCAGAAUUGGGGGAAAUUCUAGAAUCCAGAAUCAGACCCAAUUCCUGUACCUUCGAUUUCAGGUCAUCCAGAGUUAAUCACAGUUGAAGUUUGGGGCCAAUUGGUUCUAUAGACCUCCCUCUCCAGGCUCCCUGAACUGGAAGAGUGUGGUCUGGGGAGGGAGGAAGCAUCCUGCUCUAUUUUGAGACCUAUGAGAGAACUGACUUGUUUGCAUAGAGGUUACAGAAGAACCAGUCUUGGUGACCACAUGUCAUCACUGAGCAGUGGACCCAAAGUGAGUCUCCUGUACCUGCGAAAUGUUUGAGGGUGGCUCUGACCGACCAUACAGAGGCCUCCAAGGGGCCUCGAGUGUGCUUGGCAGAGGCUCCAGCAGGCAUGGGUUUGUUUAUCUUGCUUUUCUGAAGUUGAAGCCAAUGUCCUUAAUGGCUUUGAAUGUUCAGAAAACUCAGGUUUUUUUUUUUUUUUUUUUUUUUUUUUUAGGCAGAACAGCUUUUCAGGCAUGGGUAAAAUCUCUUUAGGUGAGGUUGAAAGCAGAACCCAGCCUCACACUUAAUGUCAUUUGGUUUAAAAAAAAAAAGUCUCAUUUUGGAGGAAAUGAAAAAUGGCUUGCUUACUUCAGACAAAGGACGGCAUCAGUAGGCCUGGGCCCGCUGGGGUCACAGGUCUGGGAGUAGAGCCAAUCCCAGACAGGCUGGCCGCCGGGUCUGGAGCCCGGGACUCCCAGUCCAAACCACAGAAGAGGUUCCUGCAUGUCAUUGGCUUUUGCAGAAAAUUCUGGAUGGGAAAGGAAAGCCACUGUUUAAAACAAAGUAGAACAGAUGUGUGUGUGCUAUCGGCAGGCUUUUCAACAACCUGGGAAGGCCUGGCUGUGUGUUACACAUUUACUAGCUCUUGCAGAAAGAAAUGGAAAAAUGAGUGUUGAACGUCUGUCUGCCAGAAUUGGACCUCACAGGCCUUUGUGGGGUUUUCCCUUUAGAUGAAAACUUAUAUCACAGUAGUUCUUAAUAAAACAAGCCUUCCCACAGGAGAAAGAAUUGAGCAAUGUCCUUAGAACAUGGUGAGCUCCAGGGCCUGAGUAGACAUCCCAUGUAGAAGAUGCUCUGGGCACUUAGAAGAUAGAGCAGAGGAGGAAAUCGUGCAGGGGCCGGUGAGGGCUGCUUAGGGAAAGCAGUUAACUGACCCAUGCUGCCCAGCUGAGACUACAGGGAGGAAGGACUCAUUUCCUCCUAAACCUGAGGGACCAGCUGCCCCUGCCCCAGGAGACAGCAGACCACAUGCUGAGCUGCCCCAGCCAGAGAGGACACAAGACAUUCAGCACCCGUAGCACGCUGGCGCUCAGCCACCAGCUUUUCCUUCAUAAGCACGUAAGACAGUGUAAUGCUGUCUCUAUUUGUGUAAGGGCAGGAACCUCAGCCAAGAGAUUAAAUAAUUUGUCUAAGGAGAAAAUAAAGUCAAAGGCAUGGGAUUUGUACCCAGAUCUCUGCCAGGAAGCCCUGUGAGCAAAUCUGCAUGUCCUUCUAGGUAGGAUUUCAAACAGCUGUCAUUCAUGCUUUAGUUCUCAUAGCGGCCCCCUUAUUGCAAAGCUUGCAUUCCCUGGAGUGUGUAAACCUAGCUUGUCAGUGUGAAGGGGAGGUUCUCCUACACAGCUGUUCGUAGCUCCAGUGACACUCAGUGCUGGCUUUCCCUCCUCAGAGCCCAUGGAAGGGAUGUGGAGGGAUACCAUCUUGCCUAGUUCUUAGGACCUAUAUUGUCUAAAUAUCUAGGAUAGGAAAUUUAUUUUAAGAUGAUUUUAUUUUUACAGAAAGACCCGCUAAAGGAAAGAGCUUGGCAAAGUGAGCCACCCGUGUGUCUGUUCAUGGUGGCCUUUGCAGGAGUCCCUUUUCUGGAAGUAGGUCUUGUCAUGACACAAAGAGAUAAAAUAAUCACAGUAGUACUCCACUCAGCCCGUGUGUGUGUGUGUGUGUGUGUGUGUAUGUGUGUGUGUGUUGUGUGUGUGUGAUGUGGGUGCUGGAAACCAGACUACAGGCCUCUGAGAGAGUAGCCAGUGCUCUUAACUGCUUGGGCCAUACCCAGCCCAUACCUAGGGUUUUCAUUUCUUUCUCCAGAGCAGGGCCUUAUCAUGGCCAUGUCCUGCAGAGUGGCUAGAUUCAGGCUGGAGGCGUUGCCUGCUCCUGGGUCUUGGCCUCCCCUUCCUUUGCCAUUCUUUGUGAGGCCAAAUGUCCUCACUUAAAGUUGCAGGGAACACUUCUUUGCAUCUUGGUUGUGCUUCAAAAGUCAUGUCAGUCUGAGUGUGAUUGGGGCUGGUGACAUAACUUGUAAAAGGAGUCAGGAAACAGAAGAGGACCGGUGUUGGGCUGAAGGGCCUUUAGAGGAUAUGCUACAGUCUUUCUCCCCCUCCAGCCAAACCAUGUUAGAGACAGACAUGUGCAUACCCUGUGCAUGAAGGCUAUCCCAGCCACCCUGGGACGCUGACCCAGGCCCCACCGGCUAGUCCUGGCCUGUGUCUAUCACAGUGUUUCUCCCCAAUCCUGGUGUCAUCUGUGUGUCUUACAACCCCAGGGUGACUAGCACCAUAUGGCUAAUCUGUCUACAGAAGACGUGGCAUGUCCCUUCCAUGUGCAUGGUUUAUGGAGUCUGGCACCUCUUCCUGUACUCUGGCUUCACUCCUCCAGCCCCUGGAGUACCAUGAAGGCAGUAAAGCUGUGGGACCUGAGUAGGCGGGCUGAAAUGGCCAGAAUACCUCAGUCUGUUUCUGAUCUUAAUCUCUUUUACUCAGUUCUUGAUCUUUUGUUUUGACAUCUCUUGGCCUCCAAAGAAACCUCCAGACCUACCCACAGCAUUUAGUUACUAAUGCUCAGUCCUGUUGUAGUCUUUCUGCAAUCUUAACAUCCUGAUUGUAAGUAGAGACAAUCUUGAUGUUUUAACUGAAAUGUUAGAAAAGACACAUUUAUUGAAAACCCCUCAGGUGGGGAGGGAGGUAUGCGAGAAAGGGAGUGAGAAUUUGUUUUGAGACAAUCAUUCUGUGUAGCCCAGAUGAUCCUCCUGCCUCAGUUCCUCGAGUGCUGAGAUUGCAGAUGUCUGCUGCCAUCCACAGAUUUUCUUUUCUAAGUUUUCACAGCUCUCAGAAUUAAUCCUAAAGAAAAGGUGAAGAAGCUUGCCCAAGGCUGUAUAACAAACAGCAGAAGAGAAAUUGACAUCUAGAUCUUUCUAAUCCAGGGCUUAAGCUGUUUGUCCUUCUAAUCCCAGGUUAGAGGUGCCAUCAGUCACGAGAUCCCUUUAUGACACUUGACAAAGGGGAACAUGUAUGUGUAUGUCCAGGCACUCGGAAGCACUGAUACUCCCAAGGAACAGGAGUGAUAAGAUGCUUGUCGGUAGGUCUGGUUCCUGGGUCAGCCCCUCCGUCUGUAGAGUCCAGACUGCGACGGCUGCCACCUUGCCAGAGGCAGCCAGGGUACUACCCUCAGUGGGUGUGUCUCCAUUGAGCUAACGUGAUGCUCUGUUCUAGCUGGUGGUGGGUACAGCGUGAGCCUUGCUAAAAGCUUCCGUCAGGAGCUGCUUUGACAGCCAAUCCUCAUGGGGACAGCAGGAGGUGGGAGAGACUGCAGGUGAUGUGUCAAGUCAGACCUUUAGAUAGGAGAAAACUCACUGCCCCUGCAGCUUUCUUCUUAAAGAAACUGCACAUGUGACCCACAGCCUGUGAAGCUGCAGGGCACAGCAGUGGCCACUGGGCUCGCAGGUCCUGGGGGAGAGGAUGCAUUACACAUGGCUCUGUAAUUAGGCAUGCUCAGACUCUUCACUGACCAGCUGCAGCAGGACACCCUCCGGGACACUGGUCCCUCUCCUUUCUCUUGUGAAUAGAUAGUUGCGGCCAGCGUUUGAUUUACUACCUGCACUUUGGUUCUCACUUUGUGUUGUCUUGACACAUCUUCCUUCCUUCCUUAAUUUUGAACCUGAGGGUGUUUUUUCCAAAGGCUGUUAUAUAGUUAACGUAGUACUGAACAUAAUCAUAGCUACUUCUCGAUAUUUCUUUCACCAGCCAGCAUCUUCAGACUUUAAUCCCAGUGCUUCUUCUAAGAACCCUCCCAGUAGACACUUCUGUUGUUUGGAAAUUAUCUUGAAGGGUAUGAGCUACAACAAGAAGAAACUAUGGGCAUUUGUAACAUGGACGGGCCUGCUUGUUUGUUGGGUUUUUUUCCCGCCUGGUGCCCCACAACUGUUUAGCCCCAAAGAAAAUCACACAUAGGUCUCCAUAAAUUAUAAGUUGAUUGGCCCAUUAGCUCUAGUCUCUCACUAGCUAACUCUCACAUCUUGAUUAACCCAUUUUUCUGAUCUAUGUUAGCCAUGUGGCUCAGUACCUUUCUUCUGUGGGGCAGAUCACAUCCUGCUGCUUCGGUGGUCUGGGUAGGAGUGGGAGGAGUCAGCUUCCUCCUUCUCAGAAUUCUCCUGUUCUCAUUAUAUCAUUUCUAUUUCCUGUCUGGUUUUCCUGCCUAUAUUUCCUGCCUGGCCAAUCAGCGUUUAUUUAUAACAUGAUUGACAGAAUACAGACAAUUCUCCCACAGGCCUUUUCAGGGUAAUGGAUAGAACUGAGGGUCAUUGUGUUAAGUGAAACAAGCCAGACUCAGAAAGACAAGUCAUACUGCAUGUGUCCUCUUACAUAUGGAAUCUAAAUUUAGAAACAAAAACAGCAUUGGGUGGCAGAGGAAUUAUCUGAGUGCCAGGCCAGUGUCCUCUACAGAGCUAGUUCCAGAACAGCCUGAAGUACACAGGGAAAUCCUGUCUCAAACCAACAACAAAAAUCACUGACCUAAUCCAUACAUUUACAUAAAAGACAUGGACAGCGUGAGGGGAGUGUUGGGAAGGAGAGACGGGUGAGGUGUGUGGAGAUGGCAUGGUGAAAGCCGCCCUUUGCACGGUGAGAUAAUGCUAGCAGUAGAAAGACGCGUGCAGGGCCUUGCCUGCGGUGCACAGGCAGCUCUCUGCCAGCCUGACCCGCUUGCAGACUGGACCACACCAUCCUGAGCUCUGAGCUUCUGCUGUCCCAGGUUCCAUGGGGGCGUUACAAUCAUUAACUUAGGAAUUGCUGUUGUUGGAAACUUGACUGCUGAGUCACUGGGCCUCUCUUUUGUUGAGAUGUUAAGUCCCUUGUAAAGUAU